GAUAAAGGAAGAAAGAAUAGUGAAAAUAGACUUAUUUUAACUGCUUUGGCAGUCAAGAGUCAAGAAAUAACUCAAAGAAAACCUGCUUUCUAUAUAUCUAGACAAUAUUUGUAUUUCUAUAUUGAUAUUUAGAACUAGUAGUCUGUAUGAUGUGGAUUAAUUAGUAUUGAUUCAUUGUCUCUACUAUCAGUGAAUGCCACUGAUAAUGAUUGAUGAUCAACCUUCUUUGUCUCAGUGGCCUAUCAAUUACAAAUAGAGUUCAACAUGACAUGGUCAGGCUAACGAGGAUUGUGAACGAGAAAGUGGUAA
RNAcentral lists this small RNA (309 nucleotides) under Histoplasma capsulatum var. duboisii H88. RNAcentral's name for it is "Histoplasma capsulatum H88 hypothetical RNA". Lineage: Eukaryota; Fungi; Ascomycota; Eurotiomycetes; Onygenales; Ajellomycetaceae. The record is from RNAcentral.